AGCAGCCGCGGUAAUUCCAGCUCCAAUAGCGUAUAUUAAAGUUGUUGCAGUUAAAAAGCUCGUAGUUGAAUUUCGAGAUCAAUUUGUCGGUCGUGCCUCGGUACGUACUGGCAUUAUUGAUUUCUCCCUUCUGAAGAACCGCGAUGUCAUUAAUUUGGUGUCGCGGGGAAUCAGGACUGUUACUUUGAAAAAUUAGAGUGUUUAAAGCAGGCGCACGCUUGAAUACAUUAGCAUGGAAUAAUGAAAUAGGACGUUUGAUUCUAUUUUGUUGGUUUCUAGGAUCGACGUAAUGAUUAAUAGGGAUAGUUGGGGACAUUAGUAUUCAAUUGUCAGAGGUGAAAUUCUUGGAUUUAUUGAAGACUAACUACUGCGAAAGCAUUUGCCAAGGAUGUUUUCAUUAAUCAAGAACGAAAGUUAGGGGAUCGAAGACGAUCAGAUACCGUCGUAGUCUUAACCAUAAACUAUGCCGACUAGGGAUCGGAUGAUGUUAAUUUUUAAUGA
Molecule: ribosomal RNA, 501 nt
Filed under: uncultured Glomus
Lineage: Eukaryota; Fungi; Glomeromycota; Glomeromycetes; Glomerales; Glomeraceae
Description: SSU rRNA
Rfam family: Eukaryotic small subunit ribosomal RNA
Source: RNAcentral